UACGUAGGGUGCAAGCGUUGUCCGGAAUUAUUGGGCGUAAAGAGCUCGUAGGCGGUUUGUCGCGUCGGAUGUGAAAACCCGGGGCUCAACCCCGGGCCUGCAGCCGAUACGGGCAGACUAGAGUUCGGCAGGGGAGAGUGGAAUUCCUGGUGUAGCGGUGAAAUGCGCAGAUAUCGGGAGGAACACCAGUGGCGAAGGCGAGUCUCUGGGCCGAUACUGACGCUGAGGAGCGAAAGCGUGGGGAGCAAACAGG
Molecule: ribosomal RNA, 253 nt
Filed under: uncultured bacterium
Lineage: Bacteria
Description: partial 16S ribosomal RNA
Rfam family: Bacterial small subunit ribosomal RNA
Source: RNAcentral